GCAGUCAUCACUAGCCACCGGUGGGUCCAGCUACAGAUGUGGCCAUACUUGACAGCACGGGUGCUAUCAUUGAACAACUCAGUGGCUGAAUUGAAGAGAGGUUAGUCAUUGAAGUGACAUGAACUGGUGACUAGAAAACACAUGGAAAAAACUUGCACUGCACAGAGCAAGCAAAGAGGAACAGACAGAAAAUAGAAAUCAAUGUAGAGUCUGAUGGGUCAUAAGGAUCAAGACGGAAGAAGC
Molecule: long non-coding RNA, 243 nt
Organism: Lontra canadensis (Northern American river otter)
Lineage: Eukaryota; Metazoa; Chordata; Mammalia; Carnivora; Mustelidae
Exons: 3
Source: RefSeq, a predicted model, not a curated record